Molecule: transfer RNA, 71 nt
Filed under: Aristelliger cf. expectatus
Lineage: Eukaryota; Metazoa; Chordata; Lepidosauria; Squamata; Sphaerodactylidae
Description: tRNA-Val
Source: RNAcentral
GCAGGAGGUAGCCUAAACACUUAAGGCAAUCAACUUACAAUUGGAAAAUGUUCCAACACGAACCCCCCUGA